RNAcentral lists this long non-coding RNA (1236 nucleotides) under Equus asinus (donkey). RNAcentral describes it as "lncRNA (ENSEASG00005034599.1)". Lineage: Eukaryota; Metazoa; Chordata; Mammalia; Perissodactyla; Equidae. The record is from RNAcentral.
CCAGGUUUGCAGAUACUUUUAUUAAAGCUCUUCCGGGUGGCCAAAUGCCAGUGGAACCGACGGUAGGAGUAGAGUGGACAGUGAGUGAAAACUUGUUGAGUGACUCUCAGGAAGAGUUAGCACUCAAAUUUCAGGUAUACAAACUCAUUCUAACCACUCCAUUCACUAGACCUCAUGAUGAGGUUCCGCAGGAUCCCAGCUCCAGCUCAGGAUACAUUACUCAUUGCAGAAGAUUUUGAAUUUUUCUCUUCUCUCUUUCCAGCUUUUCCCAACACCGGCUGUGAGGUUUGUCCACGACUCCUCCAACAUUUAAUGGGAAAGGCGCUUAGAAGAAGGCAAAGUAGGGAGGACUUUGCGGCUGUAUUUCUCAAACCCGUAAAGGGAGAGCGAUAAUGGGUGAGGGGCGUGCAGACUAGCUCCUUCCUUGCCCAAUCAGGUGCACAGGAAGAUGUCCUUUUACCAAUAAAAAUAAAGUUCGCUUUCCGGAGGCGGGAGGGUGAGCCUUGACUGCCAGUUCUCCAAAGCAACGAUAGAAUAGAGGACAUAGAGUGAUUGGAGGUAGGACCAACCCAGGAAAAGGGGCGCGGUGGGGGGGGUGGGGGUAAUUCUGAGCGGCGGCUGGACUGGCCAGUGGAGUGCGAGGGUUGCUGUUCCUGUUGUAGUGUUGCUCGCCAAUCAGGAAGGCGAGGGAGUGGGCGGGGCGGGGAAGGGGUGGGAAGAGCUCGCAGCACCGCCGGGCGCCCGUCGGGCUCUGGGAGAGAGAGAGAAAUCCGGUUAAAAUCAGAGUCGGAGGGAGGUUUAACCACAGAUCGGUUCCGAUCGGAUUAUUCCUUAAAGGGGACGCGCCAUUGUCAAGAGAACGGAGCCUGGGGCCCGAGGGCGGGGACCGGCGGCGCCUGAGGAGCGAGGCAGCUGCACUUGGACUGGGGACGGGAAAAAAGACAGUGUGUAUCUCAGCACAGAAACUGGUGUGAAGUGCCAGUCACACAGGAUUCACGCCAAAAUGGUAAAGGAAUAGUCGAAUGAGAGAAGAAACCGAGAUGAGAUUAUUUUGAACGGCCAUUUUUUAUCAAACCUCAGGCACUUUGAUGCUGAUGCUUUCUUGAUGUUUCCAAGAGAUGUCAACAUAAGGUUUUCAGCAACUACAUCCUGCUCUUGGAUGACAGCAUUGUAAGAUAACGUCUCUUAUUUCGGAGCAUCCAUACUUUAGAGAGAUUAAAGUGUUGUUUUUAAAAA